This 274-nucleotide ribosomal RNA is filed under the name uncultured bacterium. RNAcentral describes it as "partial 16S ribosomal RNA". It matches the Rfam family "Bacterial small subunit ribosomal RNA", at positions 523 to 796 of the family's 1533-position model. The record is from RNAcentral.
AUACGGAGGGUGCAAGCGUUAUUCGGAAUCACUGGGCGUAAAGGACGCGUAGGCGGGUUGGCAAGUCAGAUGUGAAAUCCUACAGCUUAACUGUAGAACUGCAUUUGAAACUGCUAACCUAGAGUAUGGGAGGGGGAGAUGGAAUUAGUGGUGUAGGGGUAAAAUCCGUAGAUAUCACUAGGAAUACCGAAAGCGAAGGCGAUCUCCUGGAACAUAACUGACGCUAAGGCGUGAAAGCGUGGGGAGCACACAGGAUUAGAUACCCUAGUAGUCC